GGGCUGGGGCUCAGUGGUAGAGUGCUCGCCUAGCAUGUGUGAGGCACUGGGUUCAAUUCUCAGCACCCCA
RNAcentral lists this transfer RNA (70 nucleotides) under Marmota monax (woodchuck). RNAcentral describes it as "tRNA.Ala". It matches the Rfam family "tRNA". Rfam says of the family: Transfer RNA (tRNA) molecules are approximately 80 nucleotides in length. Their secondary structure includes four short double-helical elements and three loops (D, anti-codon, and T loops). The record is from RNAcentral. Lineage: Eukaryota; Metazoa; Chordata; Mammalia; Rodentia; Sciuridae.